RNAcentral lists this ribosomal RNA (480 nucleotides) under Aeromonas salmonicida. Its description in RNAcentral is "bacterial SSU rRNA". It matches the Rfam family "Bacterial small subunit ribosomal RNA", at positions 1 to 474 of the family's 1533-position model. The record is from RNAcentral. Lineage: Bacteria; Pseudomonadati; Pseudomonadota; Gammaproteobacteria; Aeromonadales; Aeromonadaceae.
UAGAGUUGAUUCCAUGGUCAGAUUGAACGCUGGCGGCAGGCCUAACACAUGCAAGUCGAGCGGCAGCGGGAAAGUAGCUUGCUACUUUUGCCGGCGAGCGGCGGACGGGUGAGUAAUGCCUGGGGAUCUGCCCAGUCGAGGGGGAUAACAGUUGGAAACGACUGCUAAUACCGCAUACGCCCUACGGGGGAAAGGAGGGGACCUUCGGGCCUUUCGCGAUUGGAUGAACCCAGGUGGGAUUAGCUAGUUGGUGGGGUAAUGGCUCACCAAGGCGACGAUCCCUAGCUGGUCUGAGAGGAUGAUCAGCCACACUGGAACUGAGACACGGUCCAGACUCCUACGGGAGGCAGCAGUGGGGAAUAUUGCACAAUGGGGGAAACCCUGAUGCAGCCAUGCCGCGUGUGUGAAGAAGGCCUUCGGGUUGUAAAGCACUUUCAGCGAGGAGGAAAGGUUGGCGCCUAAUACAGUGUCAACUGGACG